AACGAACGCUGGCGGCAUGCCUAACACAUGCAAGUCGAACGAGACCUGCGGGUCUUGUUGCGCACGGGUGCGUAACGCGUGGGAACCUUCCCUUAGGUUCGGUAUACCUUCCCGAAAGGGGUGCUAUUACCGGAUAAUGUCUUCGGACCAAAGAUCUAUCGACUUUGGAUGGGCCCGCGUUAGAUUAGCUAGUUGGUAGGGUAAAAGCCUACCAACGCGACGUUCCAUAGCUGGUGUGGGAAGAUGCCCAACAGCACUGGGGCUGGGACACGGCCCAGACUCCUAGGGAAGGGAGCAGUGGGGAAUAUUGGACGAUGGGCGAAGGCCUGAUCCAGCAGUGCCGCGUGAGUGAGGAAGGCGUUAGGAUUGUAAAGCUCUUUUGCACGGGAUGAUAGUGACGGUACCGGGAGAAUAAGCUCCGGCUAACUCCGUG
RNAcentral lists this ribosomal RNA (433 nucleotides) under uncultured bacterium. RNAcentral describes it as "partial 16S ribosomal RNA". It matches the Rfam family "Bacterial small subunit ribosomal RNA", at positions 29 to 507 of the family's 1533-position model. The record is from RNAcentral.